GUAGCAGCUCACAAUGGUCUAAGGACUGAGUUGUGCAGGAGAAAGGCAAGGAAGAAAAUUUCCUCAUUAAAUGCCUGACUUCAAGUACCAUCCAGGAACUAUCCUCCACUACCAAGUCUUAACAGCUGGUUCAGAAGGUCCUUGAUAAACAAAAGGUGACCAGAUGUAAAAUGGACGUUUUAUUGUUCAAGAAAAAUGCUUCUUCUUCCCAUGAACAAGAAGGGGACUUCUUUGUCAGACUCUCCCUCAUCAAACUCUGGUCGGGCUCUUCUAAGCCCUCUAUGCCUCAACCUUCAGCCUCUAUCCUUAUCAGUCUGCAAUAAUCUUGCAAAGUUACUUUAGCCAGAAUCCCUUUCUGAAUGACUGAUCACAUUCCUCAUUCCUGUCUACACUCUGGGCUAGCUUUCAGCAGGAAUUCUGUGAGAUCUAUUUAGCCAAGAUCGCUUUUUACCCUGAUGUAUCCUAUUUGUAAUUUUCUACCCAAUAAUCCCCCUUCCCCACCCCUUGGCAAUAUAUUUCUACUUGUCCAUGUUGUAUUCAGAAUGGAUCCCAGUUCUGCACUGAGUUUUCUUUUUCCCCUAUUGCAAUGAUUCUUGAUUAAAAUCUGUUUUUACCACUUCA
This is a non-coding RNA of Marmota flaviventris (yellow-bellied marmot), 621 nucleotides long. Lineage: Eukaryota; Metazoa; Chordata; Mammalia; Rodentia; Sciuridae. The record is from RefSeq and is a predicted model, not a curated record.